AGUUACACCUCGUUCAUUCAACAGGGCAAUUGAUUAUAAGGUUCAUCCCUGGGGAUGGUUAUAUGUGGAAGUGCCAUUACCCCAUGUAGGAUCAGACCUGCAGCUGGAAAAAUUAAGUUACUACUGAUUUUGGGUAGAGGAAAGAAUGACCCACAUGCGGCAGAGACCAAAAGGAGCAGCCACCCUGAGACCAUCCAGGGAGAUGGAAACCAGACAGUGAUCUGUGGAGUCACAACAAAUAGAAAUUUGCUUAAGUAUUGAGGGAGGACUGCAAGAACUCUUGUCAG
Molecule: long non-coding RNA, 287 nt
Organism: Chelonoidis abingdonii (Abingdon island giant tortoise)
Lineage: Eukaryota; Metazoa; Chordata; Testudines; Testudinidae
Source: RefSeq, a predicted model, not a curated record